RNAcentral lists this ribosomal RNA (1492 nucleotides) under uncultured bacterium. RNAcentral describes it as "16S ribosomal RNA". It matches the Rfam family "Bacterial small subunit ribosomal RNA". The record is from RNAcentral.
AGAGUUUGAUCCUGGCUCAGGAUGAACGCUAGCUACAGGCUUAACACAUGCAAGUCGAGGGGCAGCAUGGUCUUAGCUUGCUAAGGCCGAUGGCGACCGGCGCACGGGUGAGUAACGCGUAUCCAACCUGCCUUACACUCUUGGACAGCCUUCUGAAAGGGAGAUUAAUACAAGAUGUUAUCAUGAGUAAGCAUUUUCGCAUGAUUAAAGGUUUACCGGUGUAAGAUGGGGAUGCGUUCCAUUAGAUAGUAGGCGGGGUAACGGCCCACCUAGUCUUCGAUGGAUAGGGGUUCUGAGAGGAAGGUCCCCCACAUUGGAACUGAGACACGGUCCAAACUCCUACGGGAGGCAGCAGUGAGGAAUAUUGGUCAAUGGACGAGAGUCUGAACCAGCCAAGUAGCGUGAAGGAUGAAGGUUCUAUGGAUUGUAAACUUCUUUUAUACGGGAAUAAACGAAUCCACGCGUGGAUCUUUGCAUGUACCGUAUGAAUAAGGAUCGGCUAACUCCGUGCCAGCAGCCGCGGUAAUACGGAGGAUCCGAGCGUUAUCCGGAUUUAUUGGGUUUAAAGGGAGCGUAGAUGGGUUGUUAAGUCAGUUGUGAAAGUUUGCGGCUCAACCGUAAAAUUGCAAUUGAUACUGGCAGUCUUGAGUACAGUUGAGGUAGGCGGAAUUCGUGGUGUAGCGGUGAAAUGCUUAGAUAUCACGAAGAACUCCGAUUGCGAAGGCAGCUUACUAACCUGUAACUGACAUUGAUGCUCGAAAGUGUGGGUAUCAAACAGGAUUAGAUACCCUGGUAGUCCACACGGUAAACGAUGAAUACUCGCUGUAGGCGAUAUACAGUCUGCGGCCAAGCGAAAGCAUUAAGUAUUCCACCUGGGGAGUACGCCGGCAACGGUGAAACUCAAAGGAAUUGACGGGGGCCCGCACAAGCGGAGGAACAUGUGGUUUAAUUCGAUGAUACGCGAGGAACCUUACCCGGGCUUAAAUUGCAACCGAAUAUGGCGGAAACGCUAUAGCUAGCAAUAGCGGUUGUGAAGGUGCUGCAUGGUUGUCGUCAGCUCGUGCCGUGAGGUGUCGGCUUAAGUGCCAUAACGAGCGCAACCCUUGCCGAUAGUUACUAACAGGUCAUGCUGAGGACUCUGUCGGGACUGCCAUCGUAAGAUGUGAGGAAGGUGGGGAUGACGUCAAAUCAGCACGGCCCUUACGUCCGGGGCUACACACGUGUUACAAUGGGGGGUACAGAGGGCUGCUACCACGCAAGUGGAUGCCAAUCCCAAAAACCUCUCUCAGUUCGGAUUGAAGUCUGCAACCCGACUUCAUGAAGCUGGAUUCGCUAGUAAUCGCGCAUCAGCCACGGCGCGGUGAAUACGUUCCCGGGCCUUGUACACACCGCCCGUCAAGCCAUGGGAGCCGGGGGUACCUGAAGUGCGUAACCGCAAGGAGCGCCCUAGGGUAAAACUGGUGACUGGGGCUAAGUCGUAACAAGGUAGCCG